Molecule: ribosomal RNA, 122 nt
Filed under: Nomascus leucogenys (northern white-cheeked gibbon)
Lineage: Eukaryota; Metazoa; Chordata; Mammalia; Primates; Hylobatidae
Source: RNAcentral
GCCUUUAUGGCCACACCACCCUGAGCGCACGGGAUCUUUACUGAUCUUGGAAGCUAAGCAGAGGCGGGCCUGGCUAGUACUUGGGAUGCGAGACCCCCUGGGAAUACUGGGUGCUGAAGGCU